RNAcentral lists this ribosomal RNA (460 nucleotides) under uncultured bacterium. Its description in RNAcentral is "partial 16S ribosomal RNA". It matches the Rfam family "Bacterial small subunit ribosomal RNA", at positions 338 to 795 of the family's 1533-position model. The record is from RNAcentral.
CCUACGGGAGACAGCAGUGAGGAAUAUUGGUCAAUGGACGAGAGUCUGAACCAGCCAAGUAGCGUGAAGGAUGACUGCCCUAUGGGUUGUAAACUUCUUUUAUAUGGGAAUAAAAUGUUCCACGUGUGGGAUUUUGUAUGUACCAUAUGCAUAAGGAUCGGCUAACUCCGUGCCAGCAGCCGCGGUAAUACGGAGGAUCCGAGCGUUAUCCGGAUUUAUUGGGUUUAAAGGGAGCGUAGGUGGAUUGUUAAGUCAGUUGUGAAAGUUUGCGGCUCAACCGUAAAAUUGCAGUUGAAACUGGCAGUCUUGAGUACAGUAGAGGUGGGCGGAAUUCGUGGUGUAGCGGUGAAAUGCUUAGAUAUCACGAAGAACUCCGAUUGCGAAGGCAGUUCACUGGACUGCAACUGACACUGAGGCUCGAAAGUGUGGGUAUCAAACAGGAUUAGAUACCCCGGUAGUC